RNAcentral lists this ribosomal RNA (501 nucleotides) under uncultured bacterium. Its description in RNAcentral is "partial 16S ribosomal RNA". It matches the Rfam family "Bacterial small subunit ribosomal RNA", at positions 30 to 523 of the family's 1533-position model. The record is from RNAcentral.
AUUGAACGCUGGCGGCAGGCUUAACACAUGCAAGUCGAGCGGAGAUGAGGUGCUUGCACCUUAUCUUAGCGGCGGACGGGUGAGUAAUGCUUAGGAAUCUGCCUAUUAGUGGGGGACAACAUUCCGAAAGGAAUGCUAAUACCGCAUACGUCCUACGGGAGAAAGCAGGGGAUCUUCGGACCUUGCGCUAAUAGAUGAGCCUAAGUCGGAGUAGCUAGUUGGUGGGGUAAAGGCCUACCAAGGCGACGAUCUGUAGCGGGUCUGGGAGGAUGAUCGGCCACACUGGGAGUGAGACACGGCCCAGACUCCUACGGGAGGCAGCAGUGGGGAAUAUUGGACAAUGGGGGGAACCCUGAUCCAGCCAUGCCGCGUGUGUGAAGAAGGCCUUAUGGUUGUAAAGCACUUUAAGCGAGGAGGAGGCUACUGAGACUAAUACUCUUGGAUAGUGGACGUUACUCGCAGAAUAAGCACCGGCUAACUCUGUGCCAGCCGCCGCCGUAA